RNAcentral lists this ribosomal RNA (468 nucleotides) under uncultured bacterium. RNAcentral's name for it is "partial 16S ribosomal RNA". It matches the Rfam family "Bacterial small subunit ribosomal RNA", at positions 28 to 507 of the family's 1533-position model. The record is from RNAcentral.
GACGAACGCUGGCGGCGUGCUUAACACAUGCAAGUCGAACGGAAAGGCCCUGCUUUUGUGGGGUGCUCGAGUGGCGAACGGGUGAGUAACACGUGAGUAACCUGCCCUUGACUUUGGGAUAACUUCAGGAAACUGGGGCUAAUACCGGAUAGGAGCUCCUGCUGCAUGGUGGGGGUUGGAAAGUUUCGGCGGUUGGGGAUGGACUCGCGGCUUAUCAGCUUGUUGGUGGGGUAGUGGCUUACCAAGGCUUUGACGGGUAGCCGGCCUGAGAGGGUGACCGGCCACAUUGGGACUGGGGUACGGCCCAGAAUCCUACGGGAGGCAACAGUGGGGAAUAUUGCACAAUGGGCGGAAGCCUGAUGCAGCAACGCCGCGUGCGGGAUGACGGCCUUCGGGUUGUAAACCGCUUUCGCCUGUGACGAAGCGUGAGUGACGGUAAUGGGUAAAGAAGCACCGGCUAACUACGUG